AGAUUUUUGCAGUCUUUUUUUUUCUCGGAAAGGACCAAAAUUCAUCUAACCUAUUGGAUUGAUGUCAUUAAGCUAUCCGCUCAUAGAAGUACUCAUUGUUAUUUAUGUCCCAAAUAUUCUCCUGAACAAUUUGAGAAGGUCCAAAUAUUCCUCUCACACUAACUGUGAAAGUCAUCUCGAGUUAUAUUUGAACCUUUUCAAUUAUAUAUAAAAUUUAUUCACUUGGCAUAAGACAUAACAGUUGAAAAAUGUCAAAAAAGUAUAGGCAAAAAAAGGUAGAAUACAUAGUUUAACACACUAGAACUUGAGACCAAAUUCGAAAAAAUACAUAAUUUAUUCAUUAAACUUUAGAC
RNAcentral lists this long non-coding RNA (353 nucleotides) under Nicotiana benthamiana. RNAcentral describes it as "long non-coding RNA (NBEN_LNC013606)". The record is from RNAcentral. Lineage: Eukaryota; Viridiplantae; Streptophyta; Magnoliopsida; Solanales; Solanaceae.